GGCCCAGUGGUCUAGUCGUAUGAUUCGCGCUUCGGGUGUAUAUCCCAGUCACGUGACUGCCAUGCGCGAGGCCCCGGGUUCAAUUCCCGGCUGAGCCC
Exidia glandulosa HHB12029 is the source of this 98-nucleotide transfer RNA. It matches the Rfam family "tRNA". From Rfam's summary of the family: Transfer RNA (tRNA) molecules are approximately 80 nucleotides in length. Their secondary structure includes four short double-helical elements and three loops (D, anti-codon, and T loops). NCBI's taxonomy places the organism in Eukaryota, Fungi, Basidiomycota, Agaricomycetes, Auriculariales, Exidiaceae. The record is from Rfam.